CACUGACAAUCUUCAUCGAAUAUCUGCGCGAGUACCUACCAUUUUCUGAGAUAUCAAAGUUUUUAAGUUUUCAUGGUAAACCUACCUUCAAUGAGAAGCUCUAUAGGAAACUAAAUUCCUUAACUCUUUCUUAAAUUAAGGUGAAGACAGUUUUAAGCUUUGAACACUGCGACCAAAUCCAAUUCAUGUGGUGAAAGCAAGCAAUGCUACAACAUCCGAACAAAAUAUUCCCCAAAAAUAAACCCUCAAAUAUUACAAAUCGGAGAAAAAA
This is a long non-coding RNA of Episyrphus balteatus (marmalade hoverfly), 271 nucleotides long. RefSeq lists it as uncharacterized. The transcript is spliced from 2 exons. NCBI's taxonomy places the organism in Eukaryota, Metazoa, Arthropoda, Insecta, Diptera, Syrphidae. The record is from RefSeq and is a predicted model, not a curated record.